Molecule: ribosomal RNA, 580 nt
Filed under: Laureola hiatus
Lineage: Eukaryota; Metazoa; Arthropoda; Malacostraca; Isopoda; Armadillidae
Description: partial large subunit ribosomal RNA
Rfam family: Eukaryotic large subunit ribosomal RNA
Source: RNAcentral
ACACGGACCAAGGAGUCUAGAAUGCGCGCGAGUCAAAGGGUUGGCUAAACCCCAAGGCGAAACGAAAGUGAUACUUUUCAAAAAGGGCCGAUCCGGUUCGCGCUGGAGAGUUAGGGGAUGUUGGGCUUGAGGAGCGCGCGCGCGGGGUUCGUCCUCGCGCGCGUUUCUUCUCUUCCCUCUCCCUUAGUUCGCUCUCCUCGCGAUUCGUCUCAAAGCUAUGAGGACGGCGCAGGCCCGGGGCUCGCCAACGCUUCCUCCCCGUCGUUAAUGCUCGGUCGUUCGUUUUCUCGUUCGUCUGGGUGCGGCGAGGCUGUCGAGGCCUCCUCGCUCUCGCUCGUCGCUCCUCUCCCGAUCCCGGGGGAUGGUUGCGGCGGGCGGGUCGGGGAGUCAACCUCCGAUGGUUUCUCGUCGCGCAUCGCUUACGAGGCGGCGGCUAGCUGGCGCGGGACGGGCGGCGGGUUCUCCGAGCGCGCAUUCUGGUACCCGAAAGAUGGUGAUCUAUGCCUGGCCAGGAUGAAGCCAGAGGAAACUCUGGUGGAGGUCCGUAGCGAUUCUGACGUGCAAAUCGAUCGUCGGAGCU